AAAAUGUUUAUCCUUGUUGCUCGCUUUGCUUUCACAAAAGCCUAAAUUGUCUAUUUUUACCAAGUGAAACAUUACGAACCAAACAGUGUAUAACUCCACUCCAACUACACUUCAAUUAUUUUUAGGUAGCAUUUGAUUUAAAUCCAUCCAGCAGUAAUAACGAUGCAGCUAUUGUACCAGUCGGUUGGACACAUCCGUGGUUCUUCUCAAGAAAUAUCAAAGUUCACUGGGACUUACUAAUAGAGGGCGGAUUUAAGUGCUUUUAUCCCUUGGCGCUCUGAAAUUAGGUGUGAAUGUGUCUCUGAAGUUCAUCCUGUUACCAAAAUCAUUAACCAGUACCGUAUCUAUAGUCUUUACUACACUCACCAUGUCUACUUUGUUGCUCCUCCACAGCACACGGAUGUCCAUGAAUUGCUUCAUCAUGCCCUGGAGGUUGACAUAGAUGAUGGCGGCCAGCACUGCCUGCAAAAGAUGAAGGCACCCUGACAAUGUGCAAUCACUCACGGGCAGUUCAGCAGCAUAACCAACCUGAGUCUUCCCGCCUGUGCUCUCCUGAACCAUGCUGCGAGACAUGGAGCAGCUGAUGGCGAAACACUGGAAGACGCCUCCGAUGGAGUUACUCAGACCCAGAGCGAUCAGUUCCUUAAACAAGGAAAUUCACACUAUUUAUUUACAAGAUAUGAAAAGCACUUCAUCCCAGAGUCCAUCCAUCACCUCCUCACCUGGUUGCUGUCCACUUUGUAUCCAUAUUUUAGCGCAAAGAUUCGUCCCAGGGAGAUGGCGAUGCCGUAGCCGACCACGGCCAGAGCGAAGGCGUCCCCGAUCACCUGACCAAACAGAGAGGCGUCCGGGAGCACCGGCGGUUGGAGGCUGGUGAACAUGCAGGGUAGAAUACAUCAGCAAUUACAGACGCCGUGGCUUUUCACAUGUGUAAACACACGUUCACGUAUGUUUGGUGUGUGUGUGUGUGUGUGUGUUUCUCACCCUGAGGGAAUCAGUCCCACCACGUCCACUCCAUAUUUGUCCUUCAAGUUAACUUGCCAGGAGAUGACUGUGGCGAUUACAAUCUGGAUCAUAGGAGAUUCAUUCGUGGGUGUAAGUGUCACAGCGUCUUUGUGAGGGAUUGACUGUGCAUUGAGUACUUGACAAGCCGAUCUAUACUCACACCAAGCAGUUCCACCGGUAUGGGAACAGGUAGUUUUUUACUCAAGUAUGCGUUGAGCUCCUUUACGAGGAUGAGGCAGAUUAUUGCGACGAUACUGACCACAAGAGAACCAAUGUUUGUCUUUGGAAGGAGAUAGCAUAUCUCCAACACCGUCUGCAAUCAAAUAUAUAUUACAAUUGUUUGGGAGAAAUAAGCGGUACAACAUGUCACACAAGAAAAGACAAUGCUCAUGUUAGAUUCUUGUCCGUCAGCCUGUCAGCAAGCAAAUGUUUCACUCCUGGCUGUUUUGUGGCGUAGAUACAUGAAUGCUUACAGGGGGGACGCAGACAUUGUUAUACAUUAUUAGCCCACUAUGCUGAUGAAGUUGUAUUAUCUCACUUGCAGGAUCUUCCAAAACCCCCAAAUAGCAUUAGUCAUUAAAACAAAUAAAAAAACAUGAGCAGGUGUCCACUGUGUUCUUUCUUACAUAUAUCAAUGAGAGCGGUCCACUGUGUCUCACGGGUCUGAUGCCGAAGGUGUAUUUGAGCUGGGACACGAUGACGUGGAUGGCCGCUCCUGUGGUGUAACCUCGGACCAGCGGCUCGGACAGGUAGGUCACAACGAAACCAAACUGGACGAGGCCGAGUAGAAUCUACAUACGUAUUGAAAGACACAGUGAGCUUCACAUCAACAAGUCAAAAGAUUCAGAAUAAUAUUGGAUUCAUAUACGUCUGUCUGUGUUAACAUUAACAUUCACAGAAUCACAAACAGGUUUGCUCACAGAUGAUAACCAGGGUCUAGUUUUACAGGCACAGAACUUGUCUACAAAUGCAUUACUUAUUAACUACAACUUUCCCUUUCAGCCUGGACAACGAGAGAGACACAUGUUUUUAGGACACAGAGAGCACAAGCUGGAUGGAUCCCAUAUGGAUCCUUUUGGAGGCUUGAAUCUUUUGUUGUUCACGCUCUGAGGAUGCGUAUUUCAGUAUUCUAUUGGAUCGAUGUGUUUCUUGCAGAAAAUCCCUAGUGAUCAUUAUGAGAAGUAUCAAUGGGAGGAUUACCUCCAAACAUUUGACUUCCAGUAAUUUACCUGAAAUAAUCCAGACACGAAGGUGACGGCUGCAGCCACUUUGACCCUCUCUGCGUCCCGGGCGACCACGUCGACUUCACUGGCGUUGGUCACGUUGUCCCAAAUCAUGAAGUUGGAGUCCGGUGCUAAUCGCUCUGUCACUCCUCCAACCAUCACACUCAACACCGCAAACGUUCCUAAAUAAGGGAGACGGAGGCAUCCGCCCAUGUGUUUGCUGGCCGGUAAACAACAUAUUGGAUCAUGUUGGAUUAAUCCCCUUGUGUCUAAAUGACUUGUGUGCAGAUAACGUGUUUAAGAACAAACCCAGGGAAAUAUGCUUUGAAGUGCCAAAGAUGAAGUAGACGAGGACUGGAUAAAAAGAGGAGUAAAGUCCAAAGACUGCAGGGACAGAGGCGAGCAGGGCAUAAGCCAUACCUGUAGUGAUAGCAGAGCAGAUGAUAACAACAUUACAGUAGCAAUCAGAAAACCGCUCGUCACAGGAACGGUAUUAAAUUGUAGGGUAAAACAAACCAAUUAUUUAUCUUCUACAGUUAAAUUUACGUUAAUAAAGAUUGUGGACAUUUCGGUUCAAAUAUUUAAACAUUCCCGGCUAACAGUCAGCGUGCGAUGGGAUGGUUUCACCCUCACCCUGCGGGAGCUGCAUGAUCCCCACACUGAUUCCAGAGAUCAGGUCGCCCAGGCAGUUGUCUCUGAGCGAGUACCGAGGCAGCCAUGACAGAACGGGAACGCUCCCCAGCAGGCAGCUCUUCAACCUGGGACCAGAACACCUGAGGGAAGAAAAAAACAAAAAGAAAGUCCUGUCAUUUCAAGUUUCAACAUUCGUGGCGUUUAAAAAGACACUUUGGCCAAACGGAUAGAAAUGAAGCAGAUGAAUUAUUAUUAGAUGAGUUAUUGAAAGUUGAGGGUCAUAAAAUGUUUGAUUUGUUUCAUGUAAUCAUCCCAACUUGAAAUAAAAUAUUCAAAUACAA
This is a non-coding RNA of Gasterosteus aculeatus aculeatus (three-spined stickleback), 3202 nucleotides long. Lineage: Eukaryota; Metazoa; Chordata; Actinopteri; Perciformes; Gasterosteidae. The record is from RefSeq and is a predicted model, not a curated record.